GAUGAAGAACGUAGCGAAAUGGGAUAAGUAAUGUGAAUUGCAGAAUUCAGUGAAUCAUCGAAUUUUUGAACGCACAUUGCGCCCGCCAGUAUUCUGGCGGGCAUGCCUGUUCGAGCGUCAUUUCAACCAUCAAGCCCCCGGCUUGUGUUGGGGACCUGCGGCUGCCGCAGGCCCUGAAAAGCAGUGGCGGGCUCGCUGUCACACCGAGCGUAGUAGCAUACAUCUCGCUCUGGGCGUGCUGCGGGUUCCGGCCGUUAAACCACCUUCAUAACCCAAGGUUGACCUCGGAUCAGGUAGGAAGACCCGCUGAACUUAAGCAUAUCAAUAAGCGGAGGA
This 336-nucleotide unclassified non-coding RNA is filed under the name soil metagenome. RNAcentral describes it as "partial contains 5.8S ribosomal RNA, internal transcribed spacer 2, and large subunit ribosomal RNA". The stretch from base 1 to 120 matches the Rfam family "5.8S ribosomal RNA", at positions 35 to 154 of the family's 154-position model. The record is from RNAcentral.